CGGCGGUGGCUACAAGCCCUGCUGAGGAGCUUCCCGGAAACGAAAGUCUUCCGGUUCCGGGGGAAGUAUGGUUGCAAAGCUGAAACUUAAAGGAAUUGACGGAAGGGCACCACCAGGAGUGGAGCCUGCGGCUUAAUUUGACUCAACACGGGAAAACUCACCCGGCCCGGACACCGUAAGGAUUGACAGAUUGAUAGCUUUUUCAUGAUUCGGUGGUUGGUGGUGCAUGGCCGUUCUUAGUUCGUGGAUCGAUUUGUCUGGUUUAUUCCGAUAACGAGCGAGACUCCAGCCUACUAACUAGUACGAGCAUUGCCUCUGUGCUCGGCACUUCUUAGAGGGAUUGACUGCGUCUAGCGGUACGAAACGGAGCAAUAACAGGUCUGUGAUGCCCUUAGAUGUCCGGGGCUGCACGCGCGCUACACUGGCAAAGGCAACGUGCUUGUCCGUCUCCGAAAGGAGCCGGUAAACCCUUGAAAAUUUGCCGUGAUUGGGAUCGGAAAUUGCAAUUAUUUUCCGUGAACGAGG
RNAcentral lists this ribosomal RNA (525 nucleotides) under Mesocriconema curvatum. Its description in RNAcentral is "SSU rRNA". It matches the Rfam family "Eukaryotic small subunit ribosomal RNA", at positions 1055 to 1608 of the family's 1831-position model. Lineage: Eukaryota; Metazoa; Nematoda; Chromadorea; Rhabditida; Criconematidae. The record is from RNAcentral.